UUCCGGUUGAUCCUGCCGGAGAUCACUGCUAUCGGAUUGAGAUUAAGUCAUGCAAGUCAAGGCGAUUCGUUCGCCUGGCGAACUGCUCCGUAACGCGUAGAUAAUCUAACCUCAGGUAAAGUAUAAUCCCGGGAAACUGGGCCUAAUCCUUUAUAAGUGCUUAGUUCUGGAAUGGCUUAGCAUUAAAAGCUUCGGCGCCUGAGGAUGAGUCUGCGUCCGAUUAUGCUUGUUGGUGGUGUAACGGACCACCAAGGCGACGAUUGGUACGGGCCGUGAGAGCGGUAGCCCGGAGAUGGCCACUGAGACAACGGGCCAGGCCCUAUGGGGUGCAGCAGGCGCGAAAACUGGCCAAUGCGCGAAAGCAUGAGUCGGUCAAUCCGAGUGUAGACCCAUCGGUUUACUUUUAUCAAGUAUACAACGCUUGGUGAAUAAUGAGAGGGCAAGACUGGUGCCAGCCGCCGCGGUAAAACCAGCUCAUAGAGUGGUGAUCAUGAUUAUUUGGCUUAAAGUGUGCGUAGCAGGGAAUUCUAAGUCCUCUGUGAAAUGUCAGGUCUUAAGCUUGACACGUGCAGAGGAUACUGGAAUCCUUGGGACUGGGAUAGGUGUAAUGUACGGUUUGGGUAGGGGUGAAAUCCGAUAAUCCAAGCCGGACAACCGGUGGCGAAGGCGUUACACUGGAACGGGUCCGACUGUGAGGCACGAAAGCUAGGGUCGCGAGCCGGAUUAGAUACCCGGGUAGUCCUAUGCUGUAAACGAUGCUCAUUAAGUGUUAGGUAAUGCAAGACAUUCUCUAGUGCCGAAGCGAAAGCGUUAAAUGAGCCGCCUGGGAAGUACGUUCGCAAGAAUGAAACUUAAAGGAAUUGGCGGGGGCCUACUACAAGAAGUGGAGCCUGCGGUUUAAUUGGACUCAACUCCGGGAGACUCACCUGGGCCGUAACGUGGAUGAUUGUCCUGUUGAAGACACUGCUUGACGCGUUACUGGAGGUGCAUGGCCAUCGUCAGUUCGUGCCGUGAGGUGUCCUGUUAAGUCAGGCAACGAACGAGAUCCCUACCGUCAAUUGCCAGCGAGACCAACUUGGUCGUCGGGGACAUUGGCGGGACCGCUCGCGAAGAAGUGAGAGGAAGGAAGGGCCAACGGUAGGUCAGUAUGCCCCGAUAUGCCCAGGGCUACACGCGGGCUACAAUGGCUGGUACAGAGGGUUCCAACACCGAAAGGUGACGGCAAUCUCCAAAACCAGUCUCAGUUGGGAUUGUGGGCUGCAACUCGCCCACAUGAACUUGGAAUUUCUAGUAAGUGCACGUCAACACCGUGCACUGAAUACGUCCCUGGGCCUUGCACACACCGCCCGUCGCAGCACGCGAGACGGGCCUGCCAGAGAUUACAGCUUAUACUGUACUCGAUGGUCGGUUCGUUGAGCAGGCUGAAGUCGUAACAAGGUAGCC
RNAcentral lists this ribosomal RNA (1443 nucleotides) under uncultured prokaryote. Its description in RNAcentral is "partial 16S ribosomal RNA". It matches the Rfam family "Archaeal small subunit ribosomal RNA". The record is from RNAcentral.